Molecule: long non-coding RNA, 644 nt
Organism: Acanthaster planci (crown-of-thorns starfish)
Lineage: Eukaryota; Metazoa; Echinodermata; Asteroidea; Valvatida; Acanthasteridae
Source: RefSeq, a predicted model, not a curated record
GUGGGCCAAUAUCUCCUUCAAGUGAGCGGGAAGAAUAUCUCUCCCCUUCGGUGGGGAAAAAUAGAUCGGCGCAAGAUCGAGCUAUACUCUUCGACCAAUGGGCACUUCUGAGAAGGGCAAUUUAUCUUCAAGAUCAAACAUUAUUCAUGGAAAUGGGAGGACGCGGUGACUUUAACCACCGAAUCAACACACUUGACUUUGUUUGAUCAGAGAAUCCUUCUAGAGACAGAGAGGCGCUCCAUCGCCGAGUAUAUACUUAUGGAGCCCCUCAGGAAACCGAAGCAGAACAUAUGCAAGAAAGGACCUCCUUUCUCUCCCCCGGAAGCCUGUAUCGGAUGGUUCAAAUCUGAAGUAACAGCUCCAAUACUGACGCAGGAGAAGAGGCCCGUCUGCGGAUGUCCAACCGGGGAGCAUCGUGUUGGAGAUAUUUCAGUUGAGGUGAAGAUAAUUGGACGGAAGCACGGCAUCGAGAGCAUUCAAUCCUCUGUUGUCAGCUGCUUAGUUAUUCUGGAUCUCUCCAUUUGCUCUACGUCGUCCAUCCCAAAUGUUACCGAAAGUCCUUUACUCUUAACAUCUGAAGUUGUUAUACUUGAAAUGUUUUUAUUUUUGAACCAGCUGCCCGCGUUAUGGACAACUGUCUUAAA